CGGAUCUAUUUCCGUAUGAAAAAAGCCAAAAAGAAUAAACUGUAACGGAGCCAAAAAGCUAAACUUAACAUUAGUCGUAUCUUUUCACUCUAGCGGACAGCAAGUGCAUCGUCGGGGCCAAAAAUAUUUUUUUUCAAAACUGGCGCUCGCAAAUCACGCAGGAAGCGCGCCGCGUGGUUCUUAUCGAAAAUUGUCGUCUCAAACAUUGCCGAUCAGUUUCACAUCAGGGAUUUUAUUCUUCAUGAAGCUGGGAUUUGAUGAGUUGGACUGUCUAAGUGCGAGUGGUUCUGCUGAAAGUCGGUCUAGAAAGUGUUAAAACACUUACCUUAAACACUCCGAUGAAUGGUUUGAGUGGUCGAUUACCUUAAUGAUUUCCGUUGCUCGCCGAAGUGAUGUAGAUAGUUUGUGGACAAUACUUUUGGUGAAACCACAAGUGAAUAUGGGUAUGGAGACCAACAGCAAAAUUGUCACCAGAUCGAAAACAAUCACCGUGCCGAUCUACACAUCCAUUGAGAGAGAUUUGAAUUCGCGCUCAAUUAUAAAAUCAGCGAUUUCAUUUUCCACGUUCAAAACUUCAGCAAGAAAGUUAAUAUUUCUCUUUAUAUGUGCGAGAAGGAAGGAUCGGCCUCGCCGUAUAUUUUUAAUCCAGCCGCUAUAAAUAUGAAAUAUCGUAGAUCUUCUGGAGGUUUUUAAUACGCAUUGCAGUUGGGUAUACAAAGUGGCUUAUUAACAAAUUGCGCCGCUAACAAGCCAGAUUUUAGGUUUUUUUAAUUAAUGGUCAGUAAUUUGGAUCGGAUUUUCAUAUAACGCAGAUGGCACAUACAAGACGAUAAGAUUAAGUCAGAAUUUUACAUAAGUAUUAAGAAAUAUUUUGCAUACCGUAAUGAGAUUGUUCGUGUUGAAAAACUCGAAAAUAUGCUCUAGCUGGAGUUUUACAGCUGACAAAAUAAUAAAGUAUUCGAAAACGUGAA
Long non-coding RNA from Dendroctonus ponderosae (mountain pine beetle), 971 nucleotides. RefSeq lists it as uncharacterized. The transcript has 3 exons. The record is from RefSeq and is a predicted model, not a curated record. Lineage: Eukaryota; Metazoa; Arthropoda; Insecta; Coleoptera; Curculionidae.